AGAGUUUGAUCCUGGCUCAGAUUGAACGCUGGCGGCAUGCCUUACACAUGCAAGUCGAACGGCAGCACGGGGGCAACCCUGGUGGCGAGUGGCGAACGGGUGAGUAACGCAUCGGAACGUGCCCAGUAGUGGGGGAUAACCAGUCGAAAGAUUGGCUAAUACCGCAUACGACCUACGGGUAAAAGCGGGGGAUCGCAAGACCUCGCGCUACUGGAGCGGCCGAUGUCUGAUUAGCUAGUUGGUGGGGUAAAGGCUCACCAAGGCGACGAUCAGUAGCUGGUCUGAGAGGACGACCAGCCACACUGGGACUGAGACACGGCCCAGACUCCUACGGGAGGCAGCAGUGGGGAAUUUUGGACAAUGGGCGAAAGCCUGAUCCAGCCAUGCCGCGUGCGGGAAGAAGGCCUUCGGGUUGUAAACCGCUUUUGGCAGGAACGAAACGGUGCCGACAAAUACUCGGCGCUAAUGACGGUACCUGCAGAAUAAGCACCGGCUAACUACGUGCCAGCAGCCGCGGUAAUACGUAGGGUGCAAGCGUUAAUCGGAAUUACUGGGCGUAAAGCGUGCGCAGGCGGCUAUGCAAGACAGGUGUGAAAUCCCCGGGCUCAACCUGGGAACUGCAUUUGUGACUGCAUGGCUAGAGUUUGUCAGAGGGGGGUGGAAUUCCACGUGUAGCAGUGAAAUGCGUAGAGAUGUGGAGGAACACCGAUGGCGAAAGCAGCCCCCUGGGGCCUGACUGACGCUCAUGCACGAAAGCGUGGGGAGCAAACAGGAUUAGAUACCCUGUAGUCCACGCCCUAAACGAUGUCGACUAGUUGUCGGAGAUCACUUCUUCGGUAACGCAGCUAACGCGUGAGGUCGACCGCCCUGGGGAGUACCGUCGCAAAAUAAAAACUCAAAGGAAUUGACGG
Molecule: ribosomal RNA, 911 nt
Filed under: uncultured beta proteobacterium
Lineage: Bacteria; Pseudomonadati; Pseudomonadota; Betaproteobacteria
Description: bacterial SSU rRNA
Rfam family: Bacterial small subunit ribosomal RNA
Source: RNAcentral